CAUAACACAUGCAAGUCGAGCGAGAAAGCACCUUCGGGUGUGAGUAGAGCGGCGCACGGGUGAGUAACACGUGGAUAAUCUACCCUCAGGUUCGGGAUAACUCGGAGAAAUUCGGGCUAAUACCGGAUGAUAAGGUAACUUUAAAGGAUGCUUCGGCAUGUGCUUUAGGAUGGGUCUGCGGAACAUUAGUUUGAUGGUGGGGUAAUGGCCUACCAUGGUUACGAUGUCUAGCGGAUCUGAGAGGAUGAUCCGCCACACUGGAACUGAGACACGGUCCAGACUCCUACGGGAGGCAGCAGUGGGGAAUAUUGCGCAAUGGGGGAAACCCUGACGCAGCAACGCCGCGUGAGUGAGGAAGGCCUUCGGGUUGUAAAGCUCUGUCAGAUGGGAAGAACGGCAGUUGGUCUAAUAGGCCAAUUGUGUGACGGUACCAUCAAAGGAAGCACCGGCUAACUUCGUGCCAGCAGCCGCGGUAAUACGAAGGGUGCAAGCGUUAUUCGGAUUUACUGGGCGUAAAGCGCGCGCAGGCGGAUUUAUAAGUCAGAUGUGAAAUCUCGGGGCUCAACCUCGAAACUGCGUCUGAAACUAUUAAUCUAGAGUCUUGGAGGGGGAAGUGGAAUUUCGCAUGUAGGGGUAAAAUCCGUAGAGAUGCGAAGGAACACCAGUGGCGAAGGCGACUUCCUGGACAAGAACUGACGCUGAGGCGCGAAAGCGUGGGUAGCAAACAGGAUUAGAUACCCUGGUAGUCCACGCCGUAAACUAUGUGCACUAGAUAUUGGAGGUUUGACCCCUUCAGUGUCGCAGCUAACGCAUUAAGUGCACCGCCUGGGGAGUACGGUCGCAAGACUAAAACUCAAAGGAAUUGACGGGGGCCCGCACAAGCGGUGGAUUAUGUGGUUUAAUUCGAAGCAACGCGCAAAACCUUACCUGGGCUUGAACUCCCACGAAUCCCCCCCAAAAGGGGGAGUGCCCUUCGGGGAGUAAGGUGAUAGGCGCUGCAUGGCUGUCGUCAGCUCGUGUCGUGAGAUGUUGGGUUAAGUCUCGCAACGAGCGCAACCCCUAUUUUUAGUUGCCAGCAUUAAGUUGGGCACUCUAGAGAGACUGCCCGGGUUAACCGGGAGGAAGGUGGGGAUGACGUCAAGUCCUCAUGGCCCUUAUGUCCAGGGCUACACACGUAAUACAAUGGUGCAUACAAUGGGACGCGACCUGGUGACAGUGAGCAAAUCUCAAAAAGUGCAUCUCAGUCCGGAUUGAAGUCUGCAACUCGACUUCAUGAAGUUGGAAUCGCUAGUAAUCGUGGAUCAGCACGCCACGGUGAAUACGUUCCCGGGCCUUGUACACACCGCCCGUCACACCAUGGGAGUUGAUCUUACCUGAAGCUA
This 1382-nucleotide ribosomal RNA is filed under the name uncultured prokaryote. RNAcentral describes it as "partial 16S ribosomal RNA". It matches the Rfam family "Bacterial small subunit ribosomal RNA". The record is from RNAcentral.